AAUAAUUUUUUUGUAUUGAUGAUAGGAUACAAACAAUAACACAUAACACUUAUUGACAAUUUGGGAUAACAGCAGUUUAUUAGACAUUGAUAUACAGUGGAUAAUAGGGUCAAUUAGAUGAUACUUGUCAUAGAAUCACGACGUGUCAGCGAUCAUCACUACAACGCCGCAUAGAUCUUUACAUAGUCCAUAUUCUUUCGCUCAUUUUGUCGUCAAGGAGAGUUUUGCUCACACGUACCCGCGGAAGGCACAGUACGAUGCGGCGCCGCCGUCGAUAUAUAAAGAGGAGAGUUCUGUUCUGCAAAUGCGCUCCAGGGAACUGAUCCAGCUGUUGCUCGUCCUUCGGAUUUUUCGUUUGCCAUUUUAAUCAAGACCUUCACAGGAAGGAAGUUCUGGGGUACAGUCUGUGCAAGCAGGAAAUCCACGGCGAGGAGGAUUUUUCCUCGGAUUUUUUCUUACCAGACUUUGUCAAAAUCGAAUUACUAUGAAGUAUUGAUAAAAAUAACUCAAAGUAUCGUGAAAAUAGUUUCAAUUCGAAAUUAUGUGUU
Apis dorsata (giant honeybee) is the source of this 548-nucleotide long non-coding RNA. RefSeq lists it as uncharacterized. Lineage: Eukaryota; Metazoa; Arthropoda; Insecta; Hymenoptera; Apidae. The transcript has 2 exons. The record is from RefSeq and is a predicted model, not a curated record.